This 5619-nucleotide long non-coding RNA is filed under the name Heterocephalus glaber (naked mole-rat). Its description in RNAcentral is "lncRNA (ENSHGLG00000048345.1)". The record is from RNAcentral. Lineage: Eukaryota; Metazoa; Chordata; Mammalia; Rodentia; Bathyergidae.
CAUAGUCAGAGCGGGAUUUAAGCUUUCAGGGGCCAGGAACGACAUCUAGAAGCCACAUUUGCCAGAGCACUAAGGACAGUCAUCAGAUUCUCCUCCAAGAGGUCAGUCACUUGGACCAGAAGGUAUUGCUACCAGUUCAUUUCUACCUCACACUUGAAGGAAGUGAGCCGUGAGAUUUUAUUUCUGGAUUGGACAAUAGGCUUCCUAUUGUUGGUUGGCCUGCCCGCCCACACCUGUGUCACACAGGCUAAACGCCAUCACGACAGGGCUGUCCACAGCGAAGCAUUCACUGGACACUUGAGUUUGUCUCAGAAAUGGAGCAAAAGGGAAACAAAUGGUCUCAGGGUGGACUUAGUAAAUGUGCUCCUCUGCAUCAGAGCCUUGACGGUGUCCGUGAAACCUCCUCCCUUUCACCACCAGCCAGCAUACCUAGGAGUCGCUGCUAAAGUCUGUGCAUCUCUCUAAAGCUUGUUGUUUAGUUCCUAAUAGAGAUUAUUUUUUAAAAAGGUGAAGGAGAUGGUAGGAUAAUUCUGGAUGGUUGAUGGUUUAAAACAAAAGAAAAUAAAUCCAAAAAAUACCAGGGAAACAACACCAAAAUUGCAACACAAAACUUAUGCUUGUUUUUGAACAGAGUGCGAUGAUGGUUUGUUUCCAAGGUUCUGGCUCCUGGCCAUGUCAUUGCAAUGACCAACUCUACAUACUGAAAAUUGUCUCAGCAUUCGAUAUUAUUCUCCUCUAAAUCUUGUAUGGGCAAGAAUUACUGACCUCACUCUGGAAUGGAAAUCCCUUUGGCUUAAAGGUGCCGAUGUCACCAAACUAGAAGGCAGACUACAAUCCGGAUCUUUGUUUAGCUAACAUCACCAUGACCUUUCAGGAAUGCAAAAAAUCAGGCUCUUAGUCCAUCCCUCUGAGAGCAGUUUCACUGUGGAGCAGCUUCCUGGGCAGAGGGGACAAAUUUGUACCAGACUUCUGAAGGAUGUGUUGCUCAUCCCCCCUCCCCGGGCUUGUACCUCAUGGUUCCGUGAGUCAGAAAGGCACCUGGGCUGGGGCUGGCCAGGCAGGAUGGACACUUUCAUUGCCCCUUCACACCCGCUCUGGGGGAACCGGCAGCAGAACCCAGCAGUGGCAGCCCAAAGCUAUUUACCAAGGUACAGCUUCCCGGGCAGCCACACAAGAGGAGGCCACACCCUGCUCCUCGCUGAAAAAGGACCCAGGAGGCCCGGUCUGAUCAUUAACCUUCAUGAGGACACUGAAGGUCAGCUGUGGCCAGUCCUCUCUCUUUCAACAGGCAGAAAAGCACACAUAUUCGACCUUCCACGCUUUGCAGAAUGGUGGGUAUGAAUCCAAAUUAGAUGGCCCAGAAAUGCCAAAAACUUAUUUAUGUGUCUAUCUGUCUGUGUUGUCCGACUGUACCAAUUCAGCAAUUCAAAAGGAAAAGCCUCAAAGAUGAAAAGCUUAAGUAGCUGGAGUAGGGACUCUCUCACCGAUGACAUGGACUUUGCGUUCCACCCAUUAAUCUCUAAUUUUCAAUAAAUUUGUCAAACUUAUCUCUUACCCAGCAUUUCUUUCAACAGAUUCAACAAUAACUUCAUCUCAGCGUACUUGGUAAGGAAGCUCUGAAGUGUUUGACCUAGAAAUGACACAAAGUGUUAGGUGGAAGAUUCUCUUGCCUCUUAGGACGUAGCACAAGAGCGUGUCAAGCUGAGUAUGUCCAGGGCACAGUCCCAGAGGUGGCCUUGAGCGGAGAGCUAUCUUCCAGGGAACACAGGAUAUUUCUUCUUGUAUUGCUCUUAGGGUCAACUCUGUAUCAAGAGACAGAAACCAAGAUGACUCAAAAGCCCUUGAAAAAGAGGCAGUCUCCUCUUAGAGAACUGCGUGUUUUCAUACAGCCUGUGCAGAGGGAGAGCUGUGAUUAAGGACCUGUAUUUUUUAUUUGCAGACUUUCAGUUCUGCUCUAAUUUGGCUGAAACCAUGGGUUCCGAGUUUCAUUUCCAAACGGCCAGCUUCCGGGCACGCCUUGCGGUCCCGACCAGCUACGCGGUGGCCCACGGGGCCCUGUGGUGUCUCCUGUGAGAAGGGUGGGAGCUCCCCGGGCCGGAGGAGCGACCCCCCACGGGGUCCGUGCUCACCCCACAUCCGGAGGUAGCCGGGUUCCACACCGAAUGCAGAAGUUGUAGUGGGAGAAGACGCCAUCUCGACUGCACAUGGAAUUGUGGUCUGGAGUCUGAGUGACAAUCAGAAGAUUCAGGGGAACUCGAAAGGGACCAGAUGCUUUUAGGUCAGAGAUUUAAAAUUCGGAAAGCAAAAGAAAAGAGAGAGGGGAGAGAAGAGGAGGAAGGAACUUGCAAGUGUUGCUGCAUCUUGAGAAAGGGGGAACAGGACAUGAUAGCCUUCGCUGCUCCCCUCAGUGCUGCUAAUUCAGGACCAAUUCCCUGCCAAGCAGAAGCAGGAAGCUGCUUGGAGAAAGGGCUGGGCGCCCCGGGCUGCUCCCCACGCUCCCCGUGGGUCUGUCUCAUCUGCCGCCCCCGCUCGCUCUCCAGCAGGUCUGCGGCUCACGAGGACACUCGUUAUUCCUCAGCUACACGCCAAGAGGGAUCUAGAACACUUUGGAAAAAGAACACAAAAGCCCUGGGUCUGCUGAGCAGCCUGUGAUCCGAUUAUCUGGCUUUGCCGAGGGCCGAGGGGGAGUGCUGUUUAUCUGGUCAGGGGUCGCGGUGGCAUCUCAAAGCCGCCCGGCCCCAUCCUGGGAGAAGGGCCAGCAGCAGGAGCCGCGGCAUCCAGACAGCUCCCGAGCAGAGCAGCCCACCCGGGGACACCGUCUCCUUCCGAGGGCAGGCCGAAGGGCAGGCACAGGCGCUCCGGAAGCAGGGAGAGCAUGCGGGGCGGGGCGGGGAGGGGAUUUCAGAGCUCACGGGCCGUCCUCCUCCCUCUGAAGUGUCCUGUCGGCGGGAACCAGCCUGGGGACUUCACAGCGAUGUCUGAUGUCUCUCCUCAUCGACUGCUUUCCUCCACCAGUGGACUCCACCCCUCACCGCUCUCCCAUUGGCCCUCGCUGCCUCUCGGUCUUGCCCGCCCUUCCCGUCAGGAUGUGCCAACCAUUCUUCCACUUGGACCCGGGCCUCCCACGAGACAGAUACCCCUUGCUUUCUUCUCCGAUUCUCUUUUCUCUGACACAGGCUAAAUGGCUUGGGCCACUCUUCUAAUUAGCAAUGAUCGCGCCUCAGAUAAACCUCAUUGGCUGUGCUGCUGCCACUGGGAAAACCUGGAGGCACUCGCUCUCUUAGACGUACAGUUUUACCCAGUGGUCAGAGGGCUAUCACAGAAGAUUCUUCAGGACACUUUCCUUUGGGAGGCGUAAGAGGAGCACAGUAGAAAUUACGCUGGGCCUUUGCGUGUGCAUGAUUCGUCUGCAUGGCCCAAAUGUGAACCACGCAAUGCUCCCAGUGUGACGCAUCCUGGCAGUAACUGGCAGCGUGAAUGGAGAGCCGAGUAAAUGCCCCUCCCAGGUACAGAGGAAGGCUCUGAGAGGGCACAUUUUGUCCCUUGGGUGGCGUCUCUGUUGGCUGGGUGAUACUCGAGUGGCUUGCUGAUGUUUCCAAGACAUGAGAACUGGUUUUGACCAGUGAGGAACUUUCCUUAGGGCUACGUGAGUCGCAGGUUGUCACAGAGUAAAGUGAGCACUGAUUUAUGGAGGGUCGAGGGCCCCAACGUAGAGGCUGUAAAUCACUCCGGAGUUUGUUUUCUUCACUUACACAGUGGUUUCUGGUGAAACUUGGAGCUUUUUGUAGCUAACGGCAUUUCAACUUUGUCCCGAUGGAAAAGGUGGCCGACAAGAGGUGGUAGCAUUUCAGACGCGUUCAUCAGCCUGUGCUGCACAAGGAAUCCAGACCUACCAUUGAUGAGAGUUCGUGCAUCAAAACACCCAAGCGUUUCCCUUCCUACGGUCGCCUCGGUUCAGAUGCAUGGAGCGCAUAAGCCCAGCUCACAGUCCAGCACCUUCCGGCAGUUUGCUCUGAGGAGCUGCAGCUGUCCUUCCAGGGAGCGCAGGUGCCGGCCUCGGGUAACUCACAGCAGCGACGACAGCGGUCUGCACGUGUGUCAAAGUGGCUGGAGGUGGUGACCGGAAACUACCCGGGGACAUUUAUCCCCGGGAGAAGUCAGGAGGGCUGGCUCAGGUCCUUUGCCAAAGACAAUGCUGGUAGAAACAGAAUUCCAGGAGUCUGAGGGUUGAAUGAGAGGGGCUUUCCUAGGAGCCCAGACUCCUUCUGCCAGACCCCAGGAGUUGUUGACAAGAGCCAUAGCUGAAGACCCCAGAGCCAAAGCCUGCAUCAGCAAAUCUCCUCUGCUUAUCUGAAGAGCAAGACCCACAGGAUUACGCAGGAGAAAACAAUGUCAGAGCAGAAUUCACGGCCUGGUGAAGAAAGAAUCCGUGUUUCUUCCUUUGGAAUCUCUGCAAGAAAGCUCCUCAUAGAAAACUGAUUUCAGUAUGGUACAGUUUGCCUUAGUUCUCACUAAGGCUUUUCGUCCAUCGGAGGGCAUGGUAACAGUGACUGCGGUGAGAUCCAUCGGGUGCACGAUGUAAGUGCAGUAUGAAGGCGCUGCUGGCAGAUCUAGGCAGGAAGCGUGGCGUGCUGCGGCAGCAGGCAACUGCUCCCACACUGAGGGCCCGGCGCAGGUACUGACCCCACCAUGUGUGGCCCUGAGGGCAGCAGAGCACCUUCGUGCCCAGGGCCUUCGAAACUGCGCCUCUUCGUCACAUGUACUCCCUUGUCUCCAGCUCCGAGCAACGUAGACCCUGAGGGCCGCAGCUGUGCGCAGGACUCCGCCUUCCAGUACAGUUUCCAGGCCAGGUUUCUGCCUCUUUCUCACUAAACCAAGUCGGACCCACAAUGCCACACUCUCGAGAAAGCUUCCAAGCGUGGAGGACUCAAACUGCUGAUACCCGAACUGAUCUAAAUUUAACCUCAGGUAUCUUUGCCUUGUUAGAAUGGAGGCAGUUAGAGCGGGGAUAUAUUUGUUUUCGAGGCGAAAAGAUGAGAUUGACUUAAAUAGGAUGCACGAUGUAUUACUGAAAUCGUUUGAAAGGAGAACUGAUCUGAAAUAAGAUAUUCGGUGCUAUUUUCAGAUGAGGCCAGGAAACAGUGCUACUAUUAGAAAAUACAGUUUCUGACAGUGGAAGUACUUUCUUUUGUGAAAAAGACUAUGAAUAAAUUUAACAAGGAAACUAUAUUCAAAUAGAGCUUCUAACAUCCAACACAUUGUAUAAAUUCAUUAAUAAUAAAUAUAAACAAUAAAGAAAAAUACCAUUGAGAAUAAACUGCAAGGAAGAAACUGGUCCUAUGAAACAUCUUUCCAUGCCAUAAUAAUUGAUUAGUGUAAUAUCUUUUCAAGCUGUACCGCUCAGAAGUAUUUUAAAUAUUAUUUGACUAUAUAUGUAAUGUAUAUAUAUGUGUGUAUGUGUGUGUGCAUGUACUAUUCUUAGCUAAAUAUACACUAUUUUACUCAAGUGAAAUAUGAUAUCUGUCAUUUUUGUAACUAACUUAGAUUCAGUGUGGACUCCUCCAGGAUGUUCUCAUACAAUCAAACAAUUUGAUGUCAUAUUCUUUGCUUCAAUAUAAU